Small nucleolar RNA from Grammomys surdaster, 132 nucleotides. RefSeq annotates it as small nucleolar RNA SNORA17. The transcript has a single exon. The record is from RefSeq and is a predicted model, not a curated record. Lineage: Eukaryota; Metazoa; Chordata; Mammalia; Rodentia; Muridae.
CCUACCACUAGAGACAUUGCAGAUGUGGCUGCUGUGUCACCUGUGCAACAGGAGGUAACAGAGAGGCGAGAGGCUAUGUCUAUCCUCAGUGUUCUGACCUGUCAACACCUGGAUGAUAAGUAGCCUAAUCCA